RNAcentral lists this ribosomal RNA (462 nucleotides) under Triticum aestivum (bread wheat). Its description in RNAcentral is "partial small subunit ribosomal RNA". Lineage: Eukaryota; Viridiplantae; Streptophyta; Magnoliopsida; Poales; Poaceae. The record is from RNAcentral.
AUGCUCUCCGGUCGCCAUCCUCGCAGGCCGUUCUCGUCACCGGUCGUCCUCGUCGCCGGUCAUCUUCGCCGGCGGUCCUCGUCGCCGGUCGUCCUCGCCGGCAGUCCUUGCAGGUCGUCCUCGUCGCCGGUCGUCCUCGCAGUCGCCGGCGGUCCUGGCAGGCCGUCCUCGUCGCCGGUCGUCCUCGCACUCGCUGGUCGUCCUGGCAGGCCGUCCUCGUCGCCGGUUGCAGCAUCGAAUGGUGUGACGCCGCUCGUCAUAAACGGUGGUAGCAAAAUCAUGUACCGUUCCAGCAAAAACAAAACACGAUGGAAGCAAAAAGUGAGGCACAGAUUCCAGGCAAAAACACAACACACAACACGGUGGAAGCAAAAAAAGAUGAAAACGCUGGUUCCAGCAAAAACACAACAUGGUGGAAGCAAAAUGAGAUGCCGGUUCCAGCAAAACAAAGACAGAUGGUAG